This is a non-coding RNA of Termitomyces sp. Mi166#008, 81 nucleotides long. The record is from the annotation of a GenBank genome assembly. Lineage: Eukaryota; Fungi; Basidiomycota; Agaricomycetes; Agaricales; Lyophyllaceae.
GUCCCUGUCGAUUAGUGGUUAAAUCAUCUCGUUGUGGUUUCCCGCUCCGAGAAGCCGGAAGUUCGAAUCCUCCUAGGGACA